This 440-nucleotide ribosomal RNA is filed under the name uncultured bacterium. RNAcentral's name for it is "partial 16S ribosomal RNA". It matches the Rfam family "Bacterial small subunit ribosomal RNA", at positions 338 to 795 of the family's 1533-position model. The record is from RNAcentral.
CCUACGGGAGGCAGCAGUGGGGAAUAUUGCACAAUGGGCGAAAGCCUGAUGCAGCAACGCCGCGUGAGUGAAGCAGUAUUUCGGUCUGUAAAGCUCUAUCAGCAGGGAAGAAAAUGACGGUACCUGAUUAAGAAGCCCCGGCUAACUACGUGCCAGCAGCCGCGGUAAUACGUAGGGGGCAAGCGUUAUCCGGAUUUACUGGUUGUAAAGGGAGCGUAGACGGCAGCACAAGUCUGUAGUGAAAUGCCGGGGCUUAACCCCGGAACUGCUUUGGAAACUGUGCAGCUAGAGUGCAGGAGAGGUAAGUGGAAUUCCUAGUGUAGCGGGGAAAUGCGUAGAGAUUAGGAGGAACACCAGUGGCGAAGGCGGCUUACUGGACUGUAACUGACGUUGAGGCUCGAAAGCGUGGGGAGCAAACAGGAGUAGAUACCCGGGUAGUC